AUGGUAGAUCCUCAUGAGAUCAUUUCUGAUGCAGUGUUGGAUACUCUCAUGGACGACCAUCAACCUGAAUGUGCUCACAUUUCAGUUACAGCCCUAUCUGGUGCAGCUCAUCCUAAGACAAUACAACUCAGAGCUCUUGUUGGUAAUCAAGUGGUACUAAUCCUGAUCGACUCGGGAAGCACCCACACCUUUGUAGAUAAAGCACUGUUGAGCAGGGUACCAGUUGCUGCAGAAAAAUUAGCAACUCCUCUGCCUGUGAAAGUAGCAAAUGGAGACAAAGUGGACUGUACAGAGUUUGUGUCCAACCUGAACUGGUGGAUCCAGGGUCAUAAUUUCUCAACCUCCAUGCAUGUACUCGAGUUGGGAGGAUAUGACAUUAUCCUGGGUAUGGACUGGCUUGAACAAUGGGGUGUCAUGCAGUGCCACUGGGCAGAAAAAUUGAUCAAGUUUGAUUAUCAAGGAAAAGAAAUCAAGUUUCAGGGAGUGUUACCUGUUAAACAAGAUCAUAUUCAGGAGGUUUCUAUGGAACAACUGAGGAAGUGGGACAAGGGAAAUGAUAUCUGGGCAACUGCAGUUCUGCAUCACAUUUGUGUUGCUCCAGUAACUGAAGUGCCAGAGGAAGUGCAACAAUUGUUACAAGCCAACAAAGCUGCAUUUGUGGACCCAAAAACCCCGCCUCCCCACAGGGAGUUUGACCAUGAGAUACACUCGUUACCUGAUGCAGUGCCUGUAAAUUGCACACCCUAUAGGUAUUCUCCUUUGCAGAAAGAUGAAACAGAGAAACAAGUCUCAGAAAUGUUGCAGUCUGGUCUGAUCACACCUAGCUUGAGUCCUUUUGCUUCACCUGUACUGUUGGUCAAGAAAAAAGAUGGUACCGGGAGGUUUUGUGUGGAUUAUAGAAAACUCAACUCCCUCACUAUUAAAAGCAAGUUUCCAAUGCCAGUGAUUGAUGAAUUAUUGGAUGAAUUAGGAGGUGCUAAGUGGUUCUCCAAGUUGGAUCUCAGAUCAGGCUACCACCUAAUAAGGAUGGCAGAAGCAGAUGAGUUUAAAACAACAUUCAAAACUCAUAAUGGAUAA
Molecule: ribosomal RNA, 1077 nt
Filed under: Triticum aestivum (bread wheat)
Lineage: Eukaryota; Viridiplantae; Streptophyta; Magnoliopsida; Poales; Poaceae
Description: partial small subunit ribosomal RNA
Source: RNAcentral